RNAcentral lists this long non-coding RNA (442 nucleotides) under Phoenix dactylifera (date palm). RNAcentral describes it as "long non-coding RNA (PDAC_LNC008242)". Lineage: Eukaryota; Viridiplantae; Streptophyta; Magnoliopsida; Arecales; Arecaceae. The record is from RNAcentral.
AUUUAAAGCAAUGAGAAUGAAUUAGGUGGGUCAAUAAUAGCUUAUGGAGUAGCCAAAAGGCGGCCAUAGUGUGGAAAUAAGGUGGCUAGUGUAAUGGGAUUAAGAGUGGGUGGUUAGGCUUUACUAGGUUUUGGUUAUUGGAUUUGGAUAGGCUUGAAUACGUGCUUUGGCUUUAUAAGCUGAUUUGAAAUAGAUUCGUGUUGCCAAUGUGUUUGGGUAGUUGCACUUGGCUAGUUAUGUUGAAGUGGGGUGUAUUUAAGCAUUUGAGUUGGAUUUUGGAGUAGUUUUAAUUAGGUUUUAUUUGGAGUCAUGGAUUGGGUUUUUAGUGUAGAUUGAAGGUUGUGUCACUAUGGUUUUGGGGUAGGAUGUUGGCAAUGGUACUUGAUUAAUUGAAAAAGGUUGUUGAUUAGGUUUGAUUUAUGGGUUGUGAAUUUGGGCUUUU